Molecule: ribosomal RNA, 809 nt
Filed under: uncultured bacterium
Lineage: Bacteria
Description: bacterial SSU rRNA
Rfam family: Bacterial small subunit ribosomal RNA
Source: RNAcentral
ACGAUACAGUGGCAGACGGGUGAGUAACGCGUGGGAACGUACCUUUCACUACGGAAUAGCUCUGGGAAACUGGUGGUAAUACCGUAUACGCCCUCCGGGGGAAAGAUUUAUCGGUGAAAGAUCGGCCCGCGUUGGAUUAGCUAGUUGGUGAGGUAAUGGCUCACCAAGGCGACGAUCCAUAGCUGGUCUGAGAGGAUGAUCAGCCACAUUGGGACUGAGACACGGCCCAAACUCCUACGGGAGGCAGCAGUGGGGAAUCUUGCACAAUGGGCGAAAGCCUGAUGCAGCCAUGCCGCGUGAAUGAUGAAGGCCUUAGGGUUGUAAAAUUCUUUCGUCAGGGAUGAUAAUGACCGUACCUGAAGAAGAAGCCCCGGCUAACUUCGUGCCAGCAGCCGCGGUAAUACGAAGGGGGCUAGCGUUGUUCGGAAUUACUGGGCGUAAAGCGCACGUAGGCGGAUUUUUAAGUCAGGUGUGAAAUCCCGGGGCUCAACCUCGGAACUGCAUUUGAGACUGGAAGUCUUGAGACCAGGAGAGGUUAGCGGAAUACCGAGUGUAGAGGUGAAAUUCGUAGAUAUUCGGUGGAACACCAGUGGCGAACGCGGCUAACUGGACUGCUACUGACGCUGAGUGCGAAAGUGUGGGGAGCAAACAGGAUUAGAUACCCUGGUAGUCCACACCGUAAACGAUGGGAGCUAGUUGUUGGCAGGCAUGCCUGUCGGUGACGCAGCUAACGCAUUAAGCUCUCGCCUGGGGAGUACGCCGCAAGUUAAAACUCAAAGAAAUUGACGGGGGCCCGCACAAGCGGUGGA